Molecule: ribosomal RNA, 460 nt
Filed under: uncultured bacterium
Lineage: Bacteria
Description: partial 16S ribosomal RNA
Rfam family: Bacterial small subunit ribosomal RNA
Source: RNAcentral
CCUACGGGCGGCAGCAGUGAGGAAUAUUGGUCAAUGGGCGUGAGACUGAACCAGCCAAGUAGCGUGAAGGAUGACUGCCCUACGGGUUGUAAACUUCUUUUAUAAAGGAAUAAAGUGAGGCACGUGUGUCUUUUUGUAUGUACUUUAUGAAUAAGGACCGGCUAAGUCCGUGCCAGCAGCCGCGGUAAUACGGAGGGUCCGAGCGUUAUCCGGAUUUAUUGGGUUUAAAGGGAGCGUAGGUGGGUUGUUAAGUUAGUUGUGAAAGUUCGCGGCUCAACCGUAAAAUUGCAAUUGAUACUGGCAGCCUUGAGUGCAGUUGAGGUAGGCGGAAUUCGUGGUGUAGCGGUGAAAUGCUUAGAUAUCACGAAGAACUCCGAUUGCGAAGGCAGCCUACUGAACUGCCACUGACGUUGAUGCUCGAAAGUGUGGGUAUCAAACAGGAUUAGAUACCCCAGUAGUC